CAGUCCAGAGAGCCAUCUAGCCCCUUGUGCCCAGGCUGGCUCAGUCCUUCAGGGGAGAGAGCCUAAGGCGAGUCGGAACUCUCUCAGGCUGCUUGCUCCUGCCUUGGGGAGAGAAGCUGUGGAAAAGGCUAGAGCAGGGCAGCUUGGCUGAUCCCCAGGGUGAGGAGAAAGAUGGUGAGAUAACGGUGACAGGACUCCUGAUGCAUCAGCCUCCUCAACCUGUGAAUUUGAUAUUUGGUCUCAGGUCUGGCCAUAUAAUGGAGAGUCGGGGAGUGUUCAUGAGCUUGAUGCUGAUGUCGUGUGCUCAGAUGCAAUGUGAGGAUUCAAAUUCACAAAAUAAGAAUGCCAUUUAUCUUCUCACAAUAAGAGAAUUACAGAACUGAAUUUACCGAGGAGGCCUCUGCUACAGGCGCUGGUGUUCCUGUCGAAGAUGUGAGUUUCCUUUAUUCUCACACAGGGGCUCACGGGAGCUUUACGAUUCCGUCACGGCUCACAGCUCUGUGAUUGCAAGAUCCUCUUCUGCCUCCUGAUUUUCCCUCUAAGCCUACAGAGGAUGACAGGAGGAACAACAGCCAGAGGGGAGCUGCUUGUAGAGAGACGGGCAGCUGGAAAACACACAAACACACUCCCCUCCCCUCUUGCAUGCCCCCCCCCACCCCCCGGCAGGUGUAGUACACACCUGGAAACCAGAUGAUGCGGUGACUGUGGCUGUGUGCUGUAAAGCAUCAUCUAACCUUUGAUUUCACCUCUAAGGUUAGACCACGCGUAUUCCUAAUAACCACAACAGGAUCACAGCCUCCGGGAGGUGAUGGCACGGGGUUGUGCCCUCUCCAGCCUGGAGAUGUGCCCGGCAUCCCAAACCUCAGUAAGGGUGGAGGUGUCUUAGUCUGAGUUCCUCCCAAGGCAAGCAGUUGAUGUGGGACGUGAAGCCAGGCAGCACUGUUAGGGGAGGUGGCAGUGAGUCAGAGGAGGGGACACAGCCCCCAAGGGUGAGUGUUUGAGUCUCCACUUUGGGUAGCAUUUGGGGCCUCUUGGAAGAGGUUACCCUGCAGGAGGGAUGGAGAGAGCUGGGUUGUGUGUCUGUUGUCACUGGCUAGGGUUGGCUUCUGGGAAACUGAGUUCCCCAGUGUUUCUGGCCUGUUACAUAAUACAGGCAGAAUGGGCUCCAGGGGCAAGAGGAAGCCCUCAGGGCAAAGGAAUGCCAUCUGGCCAGUGGACGUUGGGUUGGUGGGCAUGCAAGCGUGGUCCUGCAGAUGUGGCAGACAGGGUGCGACAGCUCCAGAGUCCCGGGGCACAAUGCCGGUCAGAGGCUUGGCAGGAUUGCUUGCUGUCACUUCCAGACCCUUAUGCCAUCCCUACAAACAAAUAGUUCGUUUUAAUCUUAAGCGCCAGACGGUCAGAGUUUAUGGGAGCAAGGCACGAACGUGUUCUUGAAAACUGCCCUAUAAUCUAGCUCGUGUUUGACCAGUGCUGAUAUUAGGGUUUAAAAAUGUCUCGGAGCUUCUCAGUUGGUUUGACCUCUCCCACUCUGAUCUUCUAAAGAAUAAUUUUAUAAACAGGUGAUUAUGGAAGCUCUACCAAGAAGGGCAACCAGAUUGUGCCAAACCACAAUGUGUGUCUCCAUGCAGUGAUGCAACUUCAAGGCCAAGGAGUUGCAGGCACCAGAGGUGUCAGAAGCCUGACCAGGCUGCUCUCAGUUUAGCAUUUGCCCCACAUGGGGCUUUAUUAGAAAAGCAAUGAGGAUUUAUCAGGACUACUAACAAAAGAAUUGUGCUGUGCUUUCUGUGCCUCUUACCCCUUCUUAAUGAUGUGUUUUUUUGAAUAUAAAACAAAUGUUCAGUUGUCAAGGCUCUCUGGGAGAAUGUUAUACUGUUGCUUAAUAUUUAAGCAUUUGCUAAUCUUUGGGGACCAGAAUUAAUACUCAAUGCUAAUUAAAAAAAAAAAAACACUUCACAUUUGUAUUGCACUUUAUUAAUCAAGUGAGGCACUAUCUGUCAAAAACACUUUGUAAACUGUGAAGUGCUCACUCUUAUUCCUUAGGCUCUAAAUCUUAGCUGUCAGUUCAGCCUAAGGUACGAGUCACUCCUGGUAGAAGCUGGAGAUCUGUCUGCAAAGGUGCUGGGUGAAGAAAUACCACCUUGGAGAGAGGACAGCAGUCGGGGAUGGGGAGAAAUCUCGAUCCCGGCAGGGGAUCUCAAGGAGAAAUGGUCCAUAUUUGUGGUUUCAUGGAUCCUGCGGGAGCUCACUAAGCGCAGAGCCAAGAAAGCAGCUAUAUAUUUCUGAGGAAGUCAUGUGUAAUUACGCCACUGCUCUUAUGUUGCUUUAUGGCAGCUAAGAAUGCUGUAAUGUCUUUUUAAUCAUAAGCACAGGCCCACAGGUCCUAGAGAGAGUGGCUGAAUUUGAAAUUAAAACAAAAACCCAAUAAAAAGGUCCAACAGUUAUUUUUUUUUUUAAACACACUGUUAUUUGGUGGAGUGCUGGACAAAUUGUUUUAUUUCCCCCAUUUGCAAAUUUGCUUUCAAAUUCCCUUCACCUUCAUUAUCCUCUACUUUGUCAAUAAUCAUUUUCUUAUAGUUCUCUCUGACAGCCUCUCCAAAGGCUACCACACAGCUUACUUUUUGGCCUUUGUGUUUAAAGGCGACAGAAAAAAAUGCACAGUCGAAUGCAGCUCAGGCCAUGCUUGAUUUCAGGUUGAGUCUUCCAAGAAGGCCAGCACUCUCUCAACCGAGGGCUUGGCAAGUUGGCGUCUCAUGGGAUGAGAAAAUUUAGCCUCUGCCCUCAGGAGGCUCACUUCUAGAGAAGACAAACCAGCAGCUUUUCUGCAUCAGGAAGGCAAUGGCUUUUCCAUGAACCCACGGACUAUCCCCCAGGCCACACCUCCCCUCUAAAGAGCAAGAGGCUAGGGGAUGCACUAUUGAGUUUUUCAGUCUUUAACAUUGAGAAAGAGGGGAAGGGGGUUAGGGAUGGGUUUUGAAUAAACUACCUACAAGCAUGUUUUAAAAUAGGAAUAAUCUCCGUUUUUUGAGGGAGGAGACAGAGGCUCCGAGAGAUGAAGUAUUUCACCUGUUGUCACAUAAACGGUAAGAGCAGGAGCAGGAUUUGGUGUGACUCAGUCUGACUCAAGAGUGUGGCCUCUGAACCAGCUCUUCUCAUUCUAGGCACCUGCUGCCUGUGCCCUCCUCCCAGGCUGUGUCCCCAGUGCAUCGUGGGAGAGUUCUGACUUAAACACUGUGCGUUGCUAGGUGUGUGGCUGUUUGGAAGAGAGAGUCUUCAAAGCUUGGGCAUUCCUGCUGUAGAGUCUCCUUAGCUGUUCCUCCCUCCCUUCCUUCCUUUGCAUACUUAUUAAGCACCUCCUGCAAGCCAGACAUUUAGGUCUGACACUCUGCCUAAUCACUCAACAGCUUGCUGAAUACAUAAAUAUUUGUGGUCUGGCAUAAUUCUUCUGCCCCUUUGUAAAGAACAAUGGAUUGGUUUGUGUGAAGUACAGGCCAUUAUUCUCAUUUCUAAGUCUCUGUUCUGAGAGCAUCAAUAUGGCAGUUUUCAGAAAGAAAAAAAAAAAAAAAAAAAAAAAAAGGAGAAGAUGCCAGGCCCUUUCAGGGAUAUUAAACCUCUUAAAUGACAAACCUGUAAUUUGUAGAGGGAAAAUGAUUCCCUGAAUGCAUCUUAUAUCCUUGAGUUCCAAAUUACAAAGUUCUCGCUGAAAUUGGUUUCUGCCCAGGAGGAGAUAACGUCAGUCAAGAAGCUGGCUUUCUGAUCAACACGGCGCUUUUGCUGCAGAGCACGCGGCCCCAGCCCUGCUCCACCCAACCAGGAGCAUUAGAGGCAAUUUCUAUUUCUUGCUGGGACCUUCCGUGAACAUUUCAAAGACAGGAGACAACAGCGGGCUAGAGAGGUUAUUAAAAUGCGAUUUGAUUUUCAGCAGGGGUUACAAGGAUGCAUUCAGUGGAACUUGCAGAUGCUGAUGGUGGUAAUGACCCGGGGCCCAGCUCCCUUGGCUAAGACAUUUAGUGAGACCCACACACCAGUCACCAGCAUUAUCAUCUUAUAAAAUGAGAAGAUGGCUUUUGACUCAGGUUGAAACUAUCGAACCUGCUGAUAAACUUCAGCCAAUAGCAAGCCUCUUAGUAACUUCCUCAUCAUUCCUCGUAGACAUCACUUGUUCCUGUUGGAGGUUCUCCAUGAAUGAGACAGAUGGACUGAGGCCACUGAGUCUCAUGAGCCCUUGCAAAGAAGCACUCCCUCCAAACACAGGUCCCUGGUCUUUGUGGUGUCCCUGUUCCAGGCCUGGUCCUUGCCCUCGGCACAGCUCCUCGGGUGCCAAGAAGUCCUUGAGACCCUGGAGCACGUUUCACUUCAACUCUGCUGACAAGGAAACUGAUCUCAGAGAGCGGUUCCGGGGCUCACUUCAGAUCCUGUCUAGUCUCAGGCCACAGUGGACCCAGGAGUCCUGGCUUGGUCAGCAGUUCCCUGCCCUUGUCUUCCCAGUGCUCUGGGGACUGUCCAGCAAGCUCCUCUCCACCUCCUCUUCGGGAGUAGCGAGAGCACCAGCAACCUCCUCAAAGACUGAGAGCCUCUAAACUGCUCAAUAAUCUGGAUUCUUUGCUAUUUAUUUAGUGAAGCCUGCCUCCUGAGAAGCCAAAGCUGAGAACUAAGACAAGGGCAGAUGGUGCUAAGCUUUCCUUUGAGACAGUUCCCUAGCUUCGAAGCUAUGAAAUAUUCAAAGCUAUUUUGAGAAAUGACCUUUUUAAAAUUAAAAAAAAAAUUGUUUUAAAGAC
This is a non-coding RNA of Sus scrofa (pig), 4775 nucleotides long. Lineage: Eukaryota; Metazoa; Chordata; Mammalia; Artiodactyla; Suidae. The record is from RefSeq and is a predicted model, not a curated record.